AAUACCCAGUCUGCUAGGUUUCUAAGCGUACGAGGCGCUGUGUGAUCUACCUUUCACUUAGGGCUACUAUGCAUCAUGGAUCUCACUUUGUCUGAAGAGCUAAAUUAGGCAGCUUUAUUUUAUUUCUUUUUAAUCUGUUUCCCUUGAUACACAAUGCUGCUUGAUACACAAUGACUCAAACCACUAGAGUUUGUGAUACUUAAGAAAAGUUUCAAUUGGUGAUCAGAAGCUUUAAACAGUUUUUAUGCUCUAGAAUUCCAUUAAAAUGUAAUUUUUUGCUUUAAACACUGUAAAGGA
Long non-coding RNA from Tympanuchus pallidicinctus (lesser prairie-chicken), 297 nucleotides. RefSeq lists it as uncharacterized. The record is from RefSeq and is a predicted model, not a curated record. The transcript has 3 exons. NCBI's taxonomy places the organism in Eukaryota, Metazoa, Chordata, Aves, Galliformes, Phasianidae.